RNAcentral lists this ribosomal RNA (929 nucleotides) under uncultured bacterium. RNAcentral describes it as "bacterial SSU rRNA". It matches the Rfam family "Bacterial small subunit ribosomal RNA", at positions 45 to 963 of the family's 1533-position model. The record is from RNAcentral.
UGCCUAACACAUGCAAGUCGAACGGUAACAGGAAUAGCUUGCUAUUUGCUGACGAGUGGCGGAUGGGUGAGUAAUGUAUAGGAACUUGCCUAGUAGUGGGGGACAACUUAUGGAAACGUAAGCUAAUACCGCAUAAUCUCUACGGAGGAAAGUGGGGGACCUUUCGGGGCCUCACGCUAUUAGAUAGGCCUAUAUCAGAUUAGCUAGUUGGUGAGGUAAUGGCUCACCAAGGCGACGAUCUGUAGCUGGUUUGAGAGAAUGAUCAGCCACACUGGGACUGAGACACGGCCCAGACUCCUACGGGAGGCAGCAGUGGGGAAUAUUGCACAAUGGAGGAAACUCUGAUGCAGCAAUGCCGCGUGUGUGAAGAAGGCCUUAGGGUUGUAAAGCACUUUCAAUAGGGAGGAAAAGUUAGUAGUUAAUAACUGCUAGCCGUGACGUUACCUAUAGAAGAAGGACCGGCUAACUCCGUGCCAGCAGCCGCGGUAAUACGGAGGGUCCGAGCGUUAAUCGGAAUUACUGGGCGUAAAGCGCGCGUAGGCGGUUUACUCAGUCAGAUGUGAAAGCCCCGGGCUCAACCUGGGAACUGCAUUUGAUACUGGUAGGCUAGAGUAUGGUAGAGGUGAGUGGAAUUUCAGGUGUAGCGGUGAAAUGCGUAGAGAUCUGAAGGAACAUCAGUGGCGAAGGCGACUCACUGGGCCAUUACUGACGCUGAGGUGCGAAAGCGUGGGUAGCAAACAGGAUUAGAUACCCUGGUAGUCCACGCCCUAAACGAUGUCAACUAGGUGUGUGAGAGUUUAUCUCUUGCGUAUCGAAGCUAACGCGAUAAGUUGACCGCCUGGGGAGUACGGUCGCAAGACUAAAACUCAAAUGAAUUGACGGGGGCCCGCACAAGCGGUGGAGCAUGUGGUUUAAUUCGAUGCAACGCG